UACGUAGGGUGCAAGCGUUACUCGGAAUUACUGGGCGUAAAGCGUGCGCAGGCGGUUGUGCAAGACAGAUGUGAAAUCCCCGGGCUUAACCUGGGAAUUGCAUUUGUGACUGUACGGCUAGAGUGUGUCAGAGGGGGGUAGAAUUCCACGUGUAGCAGUGAAAUGCGUAGAGAUGUGGAGGAAUACCGAUGGCGAAGGCAGCCCCCUGGGAUAACACUGACGCUCAUGCACGAAAGCGUGGGGAGCAAACAGG
This 253-nucleotide ribosomal RNA is filed under the name uncultured bacterium. Its description in RNAcentral is "partial 16S ribosomal RNA". It matches the Rfam family "Bacterial small subunit ribosomal RNA", at positions 524 to 776 of the family's 1533-position model. The record is from RNAcentral.